This 225-nucleotide long non-coding RNA is filed under the name Capsicum annuum. Its description in RNAcentral is "long non-coding RNA (CANN_LNC013964)". The record is from RNAcentral. Lineage: Eukaryota; Viridiplantae; Streptophyta; Magnoliopsida; Solanales; Solanaceae.
GAACAGAAUUCAUGCCCUUCAGACCUACCAUGAUCAGGAAAGGUUCCCUGAUAUAGACUCGGGUAUGUUAUGAGUCCUUCAUCUUUAUGAUAUGAAUUGUUAGAUCCUUUGCUCCUAUUUUGAGCUUAUAUGUCAGCAUGAGUCAUGCAUUAGUUUAGAUCUCAAUCGGUCAAUCAUGACCGAGUUGGUAGGUGCCCCGUGCACUGCCCUAGUAUUUUAGUAAAG